UUUAUGGAGAGUUUGAUCCUGGCUCAGAGUGAACGCUGGCGGCGUGCCUAAUACAUGCAAGUCGAACGAUGAAGCUUCUAGCUUGCUAGAGUGCUGAUUAGUGGCGCACGGGUGAGUAACGCAUAGGUUAUGUGCCUCUUAGUUUGGGAUAGCCAUUGGAAACGAUGAUUAAUACCAGAUACUCCCUACGGGGGAAAGAUUUAUCGCUAAGAGAUCAGCCUAUGUCCUAUCAGCUUGUUGGUAAGGUAAUGGCUUACCAAGGCUAUGACGGGUAUCCGGCCUGAGAGGGUGAACGGACACACUGGAACUGAGACACGGUCCAGACUCCUACGGGAGGCAGCAGUAGGGAAUAUUGCUCAAUGGGGGAAACCCUGAAGCAGCAACGCCGCGUGGAGGAUGAAGGUUUUAGGAUUGUAAACUCCUUUUGUUAGAGAAGAUAAUGACGGUAUCUAACGAAUAAGCACCGGCUAACUCCGUGCCAGCAGCCGCGGUAAUACGGAGGGUGCAAGCGUUACUCGGAAUCACUGGGCGUAAAGAGCGCGUAGGCGGGAUAGUCAGUCAGGUGUGAAAUCCUAUGGCUUAACCAUAGAACUGCAUUUGAAACUACUAUUCUAGAGUGUGGGAGAGGUAGGUGGAAUUCUUGGUGUAGGGGUAAAAUCCGUAGAGAUCAAGAGGAAUACUCAUUGCGAAGGCGACCUGCUGGAACAUUACUGACGCUGAUUGCGCGAAAGCGUGGGGAGCAAACAGGAUUAGAUACCCUGGUAGUCCACGCCCUAAACGAUGGAUGCUAGUUGUUGGAGGGCUUAGUCUCUCCAGUAAUGCAGCUAACGCAUUAAGCAUCCCGCCUGGGGAGUACGGUCGCAAGAUUAAAACUCAAAGGAAUAGACGGGGACCCGCACAAGCGGUGGAGCAUGUGGUUUAAUUCGAAGAUACACGAAGAACCUUACCUAGGCUUGACAUUGAGAGAAUCCGCUAGAAAUAGUGGAGUGUCUGGCUUGCCAGACCUUGAAAACAGGUGCUGCACGGCUGUCGUCAGCUCGUGUCGUGAGAUGUUGGGUUAAGUCCCGCAACGAGCGCAACCCUCUUUCUUAGUUGCUAACAGGUCAUGCUGAGAACUCUAAGGAUACUGCCUCCGUAAGGAGGAGGAAGGUGGGGACGACGUCAAGUCAUCAUGGCCCUUACGCCUAGGGCUACACACGUGCUACAAUGGGGUGCACAAAGAGAAGCAAUACUGCGAAGUGGAGCCAAUCUUCAAAACACCUCUCAGUUCGGAUUGUAGGCUGCAACUCGCCUGCAUGAAGCUGGAAUCGCUAGUAAUCGCAAAUCAGCCAUGUUGCGGUGAAUACGUUCCCGGGUCUUGUACUCACCGCCCGUCACACCAUGGGAGUUGUGUUUGCCUUAAGUCAGGAUGCUAAAUUGGCUACUGCCCACGGCACACACAGCGACUGGGGUGAAGUCGUAACAAGGUAACCGUAGGUGAACCUGCGGUUGGAUCACCUCCUUUCUAGA
This 1509-nucleotide ribosomal RNA is filed under the name Helicobacter pylori. RNAcentral's name for it is "bacterial SSU rRNA". It matches the Rfam family "Bacterial small subunit ribosomal RNA". The record is from RNAcentral. Lineage: Bacteria; Pseudomonadati; Campylobacterota; Epsilonproteobacteria; Campylobacterales; Helicobacteraceae.